Molecule: non-coding RNA, 45 nt
Filed under: Schistosoma mansoni
Lineage: Eukaryota; Metazoa; Platyhelminthes; Trematoda; Strigeidida; Schistosomatidae
Source: RNAcentral
AUCCAGCUGACGAGUCCCAAAUAGGAUGUAACGUGCGUCGUGGAU